CCACCACGCCCCAGUGCAGUCUCUGUGGGCAGGGAAGGACAGGGUGCCUGCAGUCCAGGCCACCACUCCAGGGCCCAGCUAGAGGCCAGAGCAGAGCCAGGUCCAGGAAGGAGAGAGGUCCAAGCGGGAGGCUGGGAGAGUCCUAAGGUAGCGCAGGACUGCUCUGCUCGUCCCUUCUUUCAUCGCAGGAUCCCGGGAAAUAGUGAGUGUGUGGGGCUGGGCGACCAGAGUGAGGGAGGGCAGAGCUGGGGACACGGGGCUCCCAGAGUCAUCUCUGGAAUCUGUUUCCCAUCUCAUGAGUGUAACAAUGACUAUCCGCCUCUGCUCUGGCCUCUAGCUGGGCCCUGGAGUGGUGGCCUGGACUGCAGGCACCCUGUCCUUCCCUGCCCACAGAGACUUCACUGGGGUGUGGUGGUCACUAGGGAGAAGCCAGGCCAUGUGUGGGUUCAGCAGGGCAGACGCUGUCAUAUGAGGUCCUCGGUUCCUCCUUCUUCCCACGUGGGAAGCAGGGUCUCCGUUCCUGGCCUUUCUGCAUAGCUCUUUCUAGGAGAGAUCCUGGUGGUUUAAUAUGUGGUAAUGUUCAGUAGAAAUAGUGAAAGAGGGGAAACAUUAAAUUUAUCAGAAAGUUUUUUCUCUGAGACUGUCAGAACUAGAAAAGUUCCACAUUAUUACACAGUAAUUAAUCCAGUUUUGGGGAUCAAGUAAGUCCAUGUUUUUGUAUUGACAUUUGGUAAAUAAUGAAAAUUUUCUCUGAGAGUUUUAGUGGGAAUUAAAUCAGAUACUGAUUUUAUUGUUUAACAUCUUCAAAGUUUUCCAUUCAAAUAUUGUUUAUAGUUGUUGCCUACAUUCCCUCUAAAGUAGUAGCUCUUUGUUUUUAAUUUUAAACUUAUUUGGUGAAAUAUGAAGCCUUUUAUUGUUAGGUAUGUUUAAAAUGGUAUCUCGAAAACUAAAAGACAAUGGAAGAGUGUGGGAGGGAGGAUGGAUAUAUCAUUAUGUUCUUAGAAUGGUAUCUGCUAAUGAUAUUAAAUGUGUUAAAACUAAUUAAAAAUUAAAAUAAAAUACUAUCAAUUUGACA
This 1075-nucleotide long non-coding RNA is filed under the name Oryctolagus cuniculus (rabbit). Its description in RNAcentral is "lncRNA (ENSOCUG00000035168.1)". The record is from RNAcentral. Lineage: Eukaryota; Metazoa; Chordata; Mammalia; Lagomorpha; Leporidae.